GAUUAUGGCCAUACCACACUGACAACGCCCGAUCUCGUCUGAUCUCGGAAGCUAAGCAGAGUUGGGCUGGGUCAGUACUUGGAUGGGUGACCGCCUGGGAAUACCCGGUGCUGUAAGCA
Molecule: ribosomal RNA, 119 nt
Filed under: Cottoperca gobio
Lineage: Eukaryota; Metazoa; Chordata; Actinopteri; Perciformes; Bovichtidae
Source: RNAcentral